Molecule: ribosomal RNA, 479 nt
Filed under: uncultured bacterium
Lineage: Bacteria
Description: partial 16S ribosomal RNA
Rfam family: Bacterial small subunit ribosomal RNA
Source: RNAcentral
GACGAACGCUGGCGGUGUGCUUAACACAUGCAAGUCGAACGAAGCUUGAUUACGGAUUCUUCGGAUGAAGUAUGAUAUGACUGAGUGGCGGACGGGUGAGUAACGCGUGAGUAACCUGCCCUUCAGAGGGGGAUAGCGUUUGGAAACGAACGGUAAUACCGCAUAAUGUAUUUUGACCGCAUGAUCGAAAUACCAAAGAUUUAUCGCUGAAGGAUGGACUCGCGUCUGAUUAGGUAGUUGGUGGGGUAACGGCCUACCAAGCCGACGAUCAGUAGCCGGACUGAGAGGUUGAUCGGCCACAUUGGGACUGAGACACGGCCCAGACUCCUACGGGAGGCAGCAGUGGGGAAUAUUGCACAAUGGGCGCAAGCCUGAUGCAGCAACGCCGCGUGAAGGAAGACGGUUUUCGGAUUGUAAACUUCUGUUCUUAGGGAAGAAUAAUGACGGUAGCUAAGGAGCAAGCCACGGCUAACUACGUG